RNAcentral lists this ribosomal RNA (253 nucleotides) under uncultured bacterium. Its description in RNAcentral is "partial 16S ribosomal RNA". It matches the Rfam family "Bacterial small subunit ribosomal RNA", at positions 524 to 776 of the family's 1533-position model. The record is from RNAcentral.
UACAGAGGGGGCAAGCGUUAUUCGGAAUUAUUGGGCGUAAAGGGCGCGUAGGCGGCUUGGCAAGUGGAAGGUGAAAUCCCUCGGCUUAACCGAGGAACUGCCCUCCAAACUGCUUCGCUUGAGACCGGGAGAGGUGAGUGGAAUUUCCAGUGUAGCGGUGAAAUGCGUAGAUAUUGGGAGGAACACCAGUGGCGAAGGCGGCUCACUGGACCGGUACUGACGCUGAUGCGCGAAAGCGUGGGGAGCAAACGGG